Molecule: long non-coding RNA, 218 nt
Filed under: Elaeis guineensis (African oil palm)
Lineage: Eukaryota; Viridiplantae; Streptophyta; Magnoliopsida; Arecales; Arecaceae
Description: long non-coding RNA (EGUI_LNC018638)
Source: RNAcentral
UGCGCACACGAUCAGAGAAGGGAUAUUUUCGCGUCCCUUCUCAAAUCAAAAAAAUCCUCAAAAAUCUAUGUGGAUAGAGGAUUCAAUCCAAAUUCCAGAACAUAUAAUGAGUGGAUAAAAAUUCCUACAAAUGGAUGUGUUCUCACAUCCUUUCACGCGAAGUCUGAUCACCGCACGCGCAGGCGUGAGGAGGAACUUAUGGCGUCCGUUUGGCAUCC